This 347-nucleotide ribosomal RNA is filed under the name uncultured bacterium. RNAcentral's name for it is "bacterial SSU rRNA". It matches the Rfam family "Bacterial small subunit ribosomal RNA", at positions 8 to 350 of the family's 1533-position model. The record is from RNAcentral.
AGAGUUUGAUCCUGGCUCAGGAUGAACGCUAGCUACAGGCUUAACACAUGCAAGUCGAGGGGCAGCAUGUUGGUUGCUUGCAACCAAUGAUGGCGACCGGCGCACGGGUGAGUAACGCGUAUCCAACCUACCCUUGUCCAUCGGAUAACCCGUCGAAAGGCGGCCUAACACGAUAUGCGGUUCUCAGCAGGCAUCUAACGAGAACGAAAUGUGAAGGAGAAGGAUGGGGAUGCGUCUGAUUAGCUUGUUGGCGGGUAACGCCACCGAAGGCGACGAUCAGUAGGGGUUCUGAGAGGAAGGUCCCCCANAUUGGAACUGAGACACGGUCCAAACUCCUACGGGAGGCA